GAUCUGAUUAAUAGGAAAGGGCAGUUGGCGAAAAUCUGAUAGACUUGGAGAUCGACCUGCUAAAUCAUCGUCAGAGUGCUCUCUGGUUGAUUCCAGUACUC
RNAcentral lists this long non-coding RNA (101 nucleotides) under Chrysemys picta bellii (western painted turtle). RNAcentral describes it as "lncRNA (ENSCPBG00000016173.1)". Lineage: Eukaryota; Metazoa; Chordata; Testudines; Emydidae. The record is from RNAcentral.